AUGGAAAAAAUCGCGGAAACAAGGUGGGAUUAUUUAGCUACUAUGUUUACAGAAGCAAUAACAGUAAAUGCACCUGAAUUAUUGAAGAAUAUUCAAAUACCACAAAGAGUCAGCUAUAUUAGGGUAAUUAUGUUAGAAUUAAGCCGGAUAGCUUCUCACUUGCUAUGGCUUGGACCUUUUAUGGCGGAUCUCAGUGCACAAACUCCUUUUUUCUAUAUUUUUAGAGAGAGAGAAUUUAUUUUUAGAGAAAGAGAAUUAAUAUAUGAUCUAUUUGAAGCUGCUACAGGUAUGCGAAUGGUUCGCAUCGGAGGAGUAGCCGCCGAUCUACCUUAUGGGUGGAUCGGUAAAUGUUUAGAUUUCUGUGAUUAUUUUUUACACAGAGUUGUUGAAUAUCAACAACUUAUUACACAUAAUCCAAUUUUUUUAGAGCGAGUUGAAGGCGUCUAUUCUGCGUCAUAUGAUGAGCCACGGAACUUAUACAUGUUCAUCCCA
RNAcentral lists this ribosomal RNA (492 nucleotides) under Triticum aestivum (bread wheat). Its description in RNAcentral is "partial small subunit ribosomal RNA". The record is from RNAcentral. Lineage: Eukaryota; Viridiplantae; Streptophyta; Magnoliopsida; Poales; Poaceae.